GUCCCCGUCGUCCAGUGGUCUAGGAUACCGGGCUUUCAAUCCGGAAACGGGGGUUCGAAUCCCCCCGGGGACACCA
This 76-nucleotide transfer RNA is filed under the name Bipolaricaulis sanaerobius (SeqCode). RNAcentral describes it as "tRNA-Glu". It matches the Rfam family "tRNA". From Rfam's summary of the family: Transfer RNA (tRNA) molecules are approximately 80 nucleotides in length. Their secondary structure includes four short double-helical elements and three loops (D, anti-codon, and T loops). Further hydrogen bonds mediate the characteristic L-shaped molecular structure. tRNAs have two regions of fundamental functional importance: the anti-codon, which is responsible for specific mRNA codon recognition, and the 3' end, to which the tRNAs corresponding amino acid is attached (by aminoacyl-tRNA synthetases). tRNAs cope with the degeneracy of the genetic code in two manners: having more than one tRNA (with a specific anti-codon) for a particular amino acid; and 'wobble' base-pairing, i.e. permitting non-standard base-pairing at the 3rd anti-codon position. The record is from RNAcentral. RNAcentral also lists the same sequence under 1 other name. Lineage: Bacteria; Candidatus Bipolaricaulota; Bipolaricaulia (SeqCode); Bipolaricaulales (SeqCode); Candidatus Bipolaricaulaceae.